RNAcentral lists this transfer RNA (70 nucleotides) under Araneus ventricosus. RNAcentral describes it as "tRNA-Glu". The record is from RNAcentral. Lineage: Eukaryota; Metazoa; Arthropoda; Arachnida; Araneae; Araneidae.
CUUCCCUGCCGGAGUCGAACCCGGCCGCUCUGGGUGAGAGCCAGGAAUCCUGACCGCUGACCACAUGGAU